RNAcentral lists this long non-coding RNA (42120 nucleotides) under Glycine max (soybean). RNAcentral's name for it is "long non-coding RNA (GMAX_LNC003649)". Lineage: Eukaryota; Viridiplantae; Streptophyta; Magnoliopsida; Fabales; Fabaceae. The record is from RNAcentral.
UUUUAGAUCCAAAAUCGAUUAUGAAUCUUUUUUAACAUAAAAUCAAACAUAUAAUUUUUGUUCUAAAAUCAAUUAUGAACUUGAAAAUAAUUCUUUUUUUUUUUUUUGCUUUUAACUCAUAAUCAAUUCUAACAUGAAACAAAGCACACAUACUUUUUUCUUGAUAAUUAUCGGAAACCUUGAGCACACACAAAAUGAACAUUUCCCUUUUAAUACGAUUUAUAACCUAAGGACAAAUUAUAAUUCGAACCCUAAACCACUUUUAUUGUGCCAAACUCUUAUUGAUCCAAACACAUAAUUAAUACAACUGAAUGGAUAUAAUGACUACAUUUUAUCGCCCUCUUUCAUGUAGAUGGAGAAUAAUGGAGGCUUCAAAGUCUUGGUCUAUCCCAACGUGGACUACGCAUUCAUAGUGACACUACUUAUGAUUAUUGAUGACAUCAAAGAUUAUGAUGUGUUGGUAAAUGCGACGGUGAGUAGUGUCCUAACUGUGGCGACGGGGGGUAUCUUACCUAUUCUGACAUUGUUUGAGGGAGAAAAUUUAGAAGAAGAAACCUUAGAUGGAGAAAACUUAGAAGAAGAAUACUUACAAGAAGGAGAAAACAACUCAGGUGGAGAAAACUUAGAUGGAGAAAACAACCCAGAAGGAGAAAAUUUAGAAGAAGAAACCUUAGAUGGAGAAAACUUAGAAGAAGAAUACUUACAAGAAGGAGAAAACAACUCAGGUGCAGAAAACUUAGAUGGAGAAAACAAUCCAAAAGGAGAAAAUUUAGAUGGAGAAAACAACCCAGAAGGAGAAAAUUUAAAUGGAGAAAACUUAGAAGUAGAAAACAACUUCGAAGCUGAAACUUAGACGCAGCUUCGUAAGUGAGUGCUUGUGGUAUUGUUCUCUAAUUGGCAUUAAUGUUUAUGUAGUUUCAUGUCAAUAAUAAUCUGCAUAAUAAAGGUUUUCAUUAAAUGUAAAUGCAGAUUAGUCAGCUGGUUAAAUUCUUAUUAUGUCGUCGAAGUUUUAUUGUUGUAUAUGAAACAAAUUAAAAUUAAAUCUUGGGCAUGAUUUUGGUUAGAACAGGUUGUAUCUUUUCAUUUUAGUGCAUGAAUAAAAUUGAGAAGAUAUUGUAAAUAAAAAAAGAUGUAAUAUUUUUCGUAGUUUUUUUAUAAAAAAAAUUGAGUAAUGAUAUUGGAACACUAUUAUUUUGAAUAUUUAUCAACACUUGUCAUUUUUUUUAUCUUUUUCUUUCUACCACGUCAAAUCACUAAUGCGUAUAAUAUGAAUGGACAAAAACAAAUAUAUCUUACAUAAUAUAGUAUCGAAGAUUAAGAGUCCGGAUAUCGAAUGCACGUGACAAAUUGUGUUCUUAAAAUAAUAUAUUUUAUUUUGCAACUAAGUAAUUGAGGAAAGAAAUUAAAUUAAGAUGGAUUGAUGGUCAAUUAUCUAAUGCAAGAUCAAAUCUAAACGAGUAAGAUAGUAUCGAGUAAGAUAGUAUGAAAGAGAAGAUGAUUUCAGGCAUACCAAUUCCACCAAUACUAAUUCUAACAAGAUUCUUACGAUUGUUAAUUGUCGAUUUUCUAAAGUCAAUUAUUAGUCAUUGAUUGUAGUCUAAUAAUGGUCAAUUAUUAGUCAUUGAUUGUGGUCAAUUAUUAAUCAAUUUCCUAAUUAACCUACUAGAGGUUAUCCAACCAGUUUGGCAUGCAGUUUGAUAUAAAACACUUUUUUUCCUAAUUCUACCAAUUACAUGUAAAUGAUUACUGUUAAGCAAUCAAUUAUGUAUUAGUACAUCCGUUUCCACCAACCAAUUUGGUCAUGUAGUUUGGUAUAAAACACUUUCUUCCUAAUUCUACCAUUAAAUGCAAAUGAUUACUAUUAUGCAAUCAAUUAUGUAUUAGAACAUCCAUUUCCAAAAUAGAAAUUAAAAGUAAAGAAGAUAAUCAAUUAACUAAAUGACAUCGAGAAUUUCAUUAAAAUUAAGAAAGGAGUUCAAACUAGGUUACAUCAUAAUAAUCGAACUAGGAAGACUAGUCGCUCAUUGUACACACUAUUACAAAAAAAACUUUUUUAACGUGUCUUACUUGGCAUCUUGCUUGCAUGAGUAAGUACAAGUGUACAAUCUGUUUUAAAUUAUGUGUGUAUUGGUUUGUUCUAAUGGAUUGGUUUGUUCGAGAAAUAGAUCAAAACAACUAGAAAGAUCAUGCAUCAAAGACAGAAAAUGGUGGUGAGUCUAGGAGGAUUUCUAGGUCUUUUAUACAAUGAUGUCAAUGUGACAUGUGAGCAUUUUCAUGGGAGAAAGAUAGAGAGAAAAAGAGAGAGGUAGGGGUGACAUGGAUGAAGUUACCAUUACCAAACAAUUUAAUAUCAUUUUAUUCCUCAAAUUAGUCACUUUAGUUCUUGAAAAAAAAAGUGUUAUGGUUACUAUAAAUUAUAAAAAAACACCCCUAAAAUCUUCAUUUUUGACUCUUAUUAUGUAGAUAAUGAACAACAUCUUAUUUUACUAACAAAGUUUGUAGAUGGCUAACAGUAGGGAUUAACUUGGAUAACAUAAUUCAAUGUCAAAGAUUUAUUUUUCAUGUAUCUAAUUUUAGGAACUAAUAUUUUUUUAUUGGUAAGAAUUGAGCAUGGUAUUAAAGAAUUUACAAUACUCACACAUCUUACUCAACCAAUUAAGUUAGACCCCUUAAUAUUUUAGGAACUAUACCCCCACAAUUUUAGAGACUAAAAUGAUGAUUUGAUCCUUUUUAUUUUUUGUCGAAGAUGAAGAAAAAAGGAAGAAAAAAAGAUUCAGAUUUUUUUUUAAAUAUCUUUAUAUCUAUUCAUAACUUUUAAUCUUAAAUAAGAAUAUGAUGCGUUCUUUGUUAGUAAGAAGCAACAAAGGAAUAAGAAUAACAAAAAAGCACAUGAUAGGAAAUGAGAGCAAGCUCUCCAAGUCAGAGAAUAUCCUCUAGACUCCAAAUUUCAUUCAAAUCCCUCGUACCCCUUACAAUGACCGCCUUCCUUACAUAUAACUGAAUUCCCCUCUCCAUUGAUUUUCUCCUCUAACAAACUUAUUCCCCCUCUCACAAAAGUCUACUGCUAAAUAGACAAAUUUUCCCUCUUGGGCCUGAUGGCAUAUACUUUAUCAAAUCUACUCUUGGACUUAAGUAUUUUGAGUUGCAAAAUAAUUUUAUAGGAUUUAAGUAUUUUGAGUUGUAAAAUAAUUUUAUAUUUUAUGAAUACUGUGACUUAUUAAAUAAGUUAUGAGAUUAUAUUUUAUUAUGAAUGAGUUACUUAAAUUGCUUAAAGGUUUAUGACUUAUCUUUUUUUGUUUAUCCGAUAAUACAAUUUUUAAGUUUGAGGAUUUUAUUUUAUGGGAUUAUAUUUUAUUGUGAGUAUAUGUAUAAUAUUGAUUUUAAAAAAAUGUCCCUUACUAAUUUUUAAGUUUGAGGAUUUUUUUUUCAAAACUUAAAGAUGUGUUAAUUUUUUAAGGGUCCAAUUCUAUAACCAACCCAAUCCAAUCUUAUAUAUAAAAGUUAGAUUAGAUUAGAUUGAGUUGUAAAAAAAAAAGGUAAGCUCAAUCUAACCCAACCCAAUUAAAUUUAAUUAGAUUAGGUUGAAAAGGAAAUAAAACUUAACUCAAUCCAGCUCCUAAUCUAAAAUAUACAUACUAUGCCAACCUUCUUGGUAUUGGAUAGAAAUUUCACUAUUAAUUAAUAAUGUUGUAUUGUCUGCCAUAUUUUAGGUUCUAUAUUUGGUUUAAAGGUGGGAGGAAAAUAAUUUUAAUGAAAGAGGGAGAAGAAAAGAGAGGUGAUUACACAUUUUGUUUGGUUUAGAGAAAAAUAGAGAUUUUAAUAGAAUGAGAGAAAAUAAUCAUUUUCUUGUUUGGUUCAUAACUAGAGAAGGAAUUUUGAAAAUUAAUUUCCUUGCAUGUUUAUAUAAUUUUAUUUUCCAAAACAUAAGUAGAGAUAUUUUAGUUAAUACUCAUCAAAUAUGUUUUAAAUGUUUUUAUUUUUUUCUCCCAAAAAUUAAACCAUUAUAAAAUUUUAUAAAAAUAUAUCCCUACAUCCCUCUUCCACCAUUUUCUUUUAACCAAACACUAUAUAUGUUAGAGUGAAUUAAUUAGAAAGAGAAAAAAAAAACAAAAAGAAAGAAAGUAAUAAAUAUGAUAUAUAAUGUGACUAACAAGUUGAUCCGGUCAAGGUAAAAACAACUCAAAUUUAUUAAUAUAUUUUAAAAUAAUCUCAUUUUGGUAAUUAGUUUAUAAUUUCCCUUCUCAUCUUUCUCUCUUUUUUUUCCUACUUUGAAAGUAAUAAAUGUAAUACAAAUUAAAUAAACACAUUCUAUUUGGAUAAUUAAAAAAAGUACAUAUCUAAAAUAUACUAUGCCAACCUUCAUGGUAACCUAUAAAAAGUGUUUGGAUAAGAUUAUUUUUCCAAAAUCAAAUUCAGUUUCAGUCAAAACAAAAAAUAAUUAUUUCUACUUUUUCAUCAUAAUUUUGAGAACUUAAAUUGAUUCCAGUAGUUAUCCAAACACACCAAUAUAGGGUGGAUUCAAAAUGAAAGAAUAGAAGAAAAUAAAAGAUAGAAAAAGAAUAGUGUAAAUAUGAUAAAUGAUGUAACUAGUGAAUUGAUCCGGUCAAUGGUAAAAAGCAUCUAAAUCUCAUAAUAUAUCACAUUUUAGUCAUUAGUUUCUUAGAGUGUCCUGUUUUGGUGAACCAUUCCUUAGUAAAAUUACUCUUACCUUAAAGGACUUGCAUGUGUGUGUGUAUAUAUAUAUAUAUAUAUAUAUAUAUUAACUUUUGCAAAACUUUUGAGUGUAAGAGGAUUGUUCAUUCAUUUAUUACUCUAGGUGAAACCUUAUUUGAGUGUCGAAGUGCAUUUUGCACCCAUCCUUCAAAAGAAGAACCCGCUAAGCACACUAAAGCGAGAUACAUCAAAGUGAAAGAUAUAGCAAGGAGAAAGGCAUCUGGGCACUUCAAGCAUGAACAUCAGGUAUGAAAAAAUUUUCUCUCCUACCAAACAUCCUAUAGUUAAUGGAUAUUCUCUCCUCCCUAAUCCCCUUUCUACAUUAUCUUCUCAUUCAUUUCCUUCUUUUGCUAAUUUUCUUCCUACUAAAUGCUACCUUUUAAUUACUUUUCAAAUUUAUCCGAUGAAUUAAGAUAAACAUAUUUUUUAAAUUGAAUAACAAUUGUAAUAUUUGUGUGUGAAAACAAUUGUAAUUUUUUUAUUAUUCCAGUUAUGGGAGCCAAUUGUUAAACCACUAUUUAAUAUUCAUGAGGAUAAAAAUAUCAAACAAUUAAUGAUUUGUUUCAAGUGGCCUUAAACCGACAGUAUGCCAGAGGACUUGUUUUCUUGAGUAUAGGUUCAUGGACAUUUAAUUAUGGUGAUGAUGAUACACUCGAUUUUUCACUAUUUAAAACUGUAAGUUGAUCUAUCCACUUGAUGAUAACGAAACCUUUAAACUAUGUAUUCUUAAUUGAAAAUAAUAAAGUCUUCAUCAUUGCCAGCGGAUGCACAAGCUACACAUAAAAAUUAGGCUUAAUAUAUUUUAACUUUUUAAUUUCUAAUUUGAUGUAUUUUAUCUUUAACUUUUAAAAAAAAUUCUGAAUUUUACUUUAUAAAUUACUGGUCAGUAAAAUACAACGAAGGCCUUAGAUCCAUGUUGAAAGAAUGGCAAUCGGAGAGUGGAGGCAUAAUCUACUACUCCUACUUUGACACUUUUGCCUGCCAUCAACGACCUUAUUCAGACUCCAGCUUCUUAUGGUACCAUUUUAUACGUACAAUAACAUAUCCAAAUAUUAUUUUCUUUCUUAAUUCUUUUCAUUUCUUUAUUAAAAUUAAGAAACUUUCCUUUCUCUUUUAUUUUUUAUUCUAAUUCAAAUAACUUUAAAAUUUAUUAUCUUUCUUCUCUUUUAUUUCUUUCCUCUACCAAAAGAUGUUUAUUAGUUUUGUUUUGAGUAAAUGACCAUUUUAUUUUCUAAAUUUGUAUUUUGUUAUGGUUUUAGUACUUAAAAUCAAGAAAAAUUCAAAUAAGUUCACGAACAUUUUUAGUGUUUCACUUAAAUCUCUGAAAGUAACUUUUUUUCUUUUUCUUAUUUUGGUUCCUAAACUCAUGUUGUUAUUAUUACCUAAGUCCUCGUACUAGGGGUCAAAAUGAAAAAAGAAAAGAUGUUAGGUUAAGAGACUUAUUUGGUGAGAUACAAAUUUAGGAAAUGAAUUGGCUAUUUACUCUUUUGUUUUUAUAAAGUUGAUUUCUAAUUAAAAUAAGUUUAAAUCACUUUUCAGGAUUUAGUGAGCCAGAGCUCCCAGCCUGCCAUUGUCAAACCUUUGUCCUAACAGAGACAAGAUCACAUCUUCUUUGACCAAUUCCAUCCUACGGAGGCGUUGCUCGUUUGUUUGUUAUUUGUUAAUAAACUUUUUUAUGGCCCUUCAAGUUACACAUUGUAGAAAAUAAUAUUAUAAAAUGUAACAAUUUUAUUAUAUAUAACCCAUUGAUGGCCCUUCAUAUUUAUCCAAUAGCUUAUCUCUAACUUUGAACAUUAACAUUGCAAUCGCGCUUCUGUUUUUAUUUUUUUUAAUUUUGAAAUUUGUAAAAAAAUCUUUCAUUCUCUUUUCACUGCUAAUUUUCUUCCUACUAAAUGCUACCUUUUAAUUACUUUUCAAAUUUAUCCAACGAAUUAAGAUAAACAUAUUUUUUAAAUUGAAUAACUAUUGUAAUUUUUGUUGUUGUUGAAAACAAUUAUUGUUUUUUAUUACUCCAGUUAUGGGAGCCAAUUUUAAACCACUAUUUAAUAUUCAUGAGGAUAAAAGUAUCAAUCUACAAUUAAUGAUUUGUUUCAAGUGGCCUUAAUCCGACAGUAUUUGGAGGACUUGUUUUUUUUAGUAUAGGUUCAUGGACAUUUAAUUAUGGUGAUGAUGAUAGUACCAUGAUAUACUCGAUCGUUUACUAUUUAAAACAGUAAGUUGAUCUAGUCUCUACUUGAUGAUAACAAAACCUUUUAACAAUGUAUUCUUAAUUGAAAAUAAUAAAGUCCUCAUCAUUGCCAGCUGAUGCAUAAGCUAUCCAUAAAAAUUAGGUUUAAUUGUAUAAUUUUUUUAAUUUUUGAUGAAUUUUAUUUUUAACUUUUUAAUUUGACAUAUUUUACCUCUAAUUUUUAAGAAGCUUGUGAAAUUUAUCCUUCCCAUUUAUCUAUUAAAAAGCAUAAUAAUUGAUGGUAAAAUUUGUCAAAAAAAUAAAUAGUUCAAGAGUAAAAUUCGUAAAGAAUAAUAAGUCAGGGAUAAAAAGUACAAUUAUAUUAAUAGUUAAAUGAUGGGAGUAAAAUUCACAAGAUUCUUAAAAUUUGGGAUAAAGUAUAUCAAAUUAAAAAAAUUAAGGUAAAAUUCACCAAAAAUUUAAGAAAUUAAGGAUAAAAAAUACAAUUACGCCUAAAAAUUAUCAUUUUGUCUACCCCAAUGUUUUUUUUAUUUCAGCUUAAUUUAAGAAAUUAAGGAUAAAAAAUACAAUUACGCUUCAAAGAUAUUUACAAUCUUUCUAGUUAACGUUUUACAAAGAGUACUGUGUUUAAUUCAUGGUGGGAAUAAUGAAAAUUGAUUUUGAUUUGAUUUAAACACGAUUUUAUCAAAAUAUAAAUGCUUGGUUAUUGUUAGCUAAAGUUAUUUUGCUUUAUAAGAAGUGAUAAAAAGUAACUUUUAUGUUGAGUUAAAGAAGCAAUCUCGCUUUCAAGAUAAAAGCAUACAAACCCUUGUCGAUUUAAAAUAAAAUUUAAUAUUAUUUUCUUAUUUAUUUUGGUCAAAUAAUUUUUAAAAUUUAUUUAUCUGUUCCACAAUUAGCCUAUGAAACCGUUUUGUCUACGCAUAAUUAGACUUCUAAUAAACCCAAACAUAUUUUCAAAGACCAAAUCUGUAAAAGUAAGAAAAAAAUCAAUUAUUUCCUUAGAUAAAAAUUGAGAACAACUUGGCUAGUUUAAUCAAAUUUCAUUUCCCCACAUUUUGACAAAGUCAUAAGCUAGCUAGCUAAACGAACUACGACUUUUCUCACUGUGUACGUUUUCCAUGCCAAGUCUUCGGAAUCUUGGGCUCUGCAAGUUGAUGGUCAACUAGGCAGUUUUGCCAUUGGGUAAGUGGACCUAUUUAUAAAGGAUGGUCAAUUGAGCAAUUAAUUGAUUAACAUAUGUACCUAACAUAUGUCUAAGAUGCUUAUGUCUUUAACCAAGUACUAGUAGUUUAGAAUUUAAAUUUUAAUUAAUUAUUAGGUAUAAAAUAAAUUAUAUUAAAAAAAAACCUAUUUUACAUGUGUUCAAGAUUUCUAACGAAAAUUUAUUUUUAUUUUCAAUGAAAACAAUUUUAUAAUUAUAAAAAAUAAAACAUACGUGACCAAACACACAAUGUGUGUACAUAACAUAUGCUCUAUAAAUUAGCCUUUACUCCAAAAGACUAUCUCAUACCACAACACAUGUUUCCAAUGGCAAAUAAGUUCUCAGUUAUCAGCCCUUCCUAUUGUGUUCCUAACUCUCUUAACCUACAAAUUAACACAGAGAAAGGUGUUACUUACAACGUAAAGGGUAACCGUGUAUUUUACAUAAAAGAUACUUUGUUCACAUUUCACGGUCGUCGCGUGUUAUGUGAUGAUAAAGGAAGUCCCAUCGUCACUCUAUACAAGAAGGUUUGUUACUGAUCGAGGAGGCAUCUUAUACUCAUUUUUUUUUGAAUUUUUUUUCUAUUAAUUAAAUUAACUAAAUUGGUAUUAUAUAUUCUUAAUUUUUGUUUUUUAUCAGCAAAUAUUAAUUAUUAAUUUUAUUAGUUUUUUUUAGUAAAAAAAAAAUUGAAUCUAUAACCUCUCUUUUUCCUUCUUCCUUUAUCUAUCAAAUCAAUCUUAUAAUUAUUUGGUAUUCUUAAUUUUUGUUUAUAUGUAGAAUGUGACAUUGCACGGGCAAUGCAAAGUUUUCAGGGGUAAUAGCAAUGGUCCCUCUGAGUUGCUCUUUUCGGUGAAGAGAUCGUCAAUAAUCCCGAGUGGGAAGAUGAUUAGAUUAGAUGUCUUCCUUGAAAACAAGAGAAAAGGAAGCAUGUGUGAUUUUAGAGUCAUCGUUCGUGGAAGUAAAAAUUCAUGCACUAUUUAUGCCGGUGAAUCUCCAACUAUUGUUGCCAAGGUGUGUAUUGCAUGUGUUCUGGGCAUGUUUUUAUAUACACAUUAGUUUAAUUACCUAUCUAUUAUGGGUUUGGAUAAUUGCUGAUAUAAAGUGAUGUGUAAUUUAUAUUUAAAUAUUUUUAUGAUAAAAUUAAGUUAAGAGUAAAAUUUAGUAUAAUUUUUUAUUCUAGUUAGAAUUGCUUAACUCAGAAUCAAUUUUAGAUCCAAAAUCGAUUAUGAAUCUUUUUUAACAUAAAAUCAAACAUAUAAUUUUUGUUCUAAAAUCAAUUAUGAACUUGAAAAUAAUUUUUUUUUUUUGCUUUUAACUCAUAAUCAAUUCUAACCUGAAACAAAGCACACAUACUUUUUUCUUGAUAAUUAUCGGAAACCUUGAGCACACACAAAAUGAACAUUUCCCCUUUUAAUACGAUUUAUAACCUAAGGACAAAUUAUAAUUCGAACCCUAAACCACUUUUAUUGUGCCAAACUCUUAUUGAUCCAAACAAAUAAUUAAUACAACUGAAUGGAUAUAAUGACUACAUUUUAUCGCCCUCUUUCAUGUAGAUGGAGAAUAAUGGAGGCUUCAAAGUCUUGGUCUAUCCCAACGUGGACUACGCAUUCAUAGUGACACUACUUAUGAUUAUUGAUGACAUCAAAGAUUAUGAUGUGUUGGUAAAUGCGACGGUGAGUGGUGUCCUAACUGUGGCGACGGGGGGUAUCUUACCUAUUCUGACAUUGUUUGAGGGAGAAAAUUUAGAAGAAGAAACCUUAGAUGGAGAAAACUUAGAAGACGAAUACUUACAAGAAGGAGAAAACAACUCAGGUGGAGAAAACUUAGAUGGAGAAAACAACCCAGAAGGAGAAAAUUUAGAUGGAGAAAACUUAGAAGUAGAAAACAACUUCGAAGCUGAAACUUAGACGCAGCUUCGUAAGUGAGUGCUUGUGGUAUUGUUCUCUAAUUGGCAUUAAUGUUUAUGUAGUUUCAUGUCAAUAAUAAUCUGCAUAAUAAAGGUUUUCAUUAAAUGUCAAUGCAGAUUAGCCAGCUGGUUAAAUUCUUAUUAUGUCGUCGAAGUUUUAUUGUUGUAUAUGAAACAAAUUAAAAUUAAAUCUUGGGCACGAUUUUGGUUAGAACAGGUUGUAUCUUUUCAUUUUAGUGCAUGAAUAAAAUUGAGAAGAUAUUGUAAAUAAAAAAAGAUGUAAUAUUUUUCGUAGUUUUUUUAUAAAAAAAAUUGAGUAAUGAUAUUGGAACACUAUUAUUUUGAAUAUUUAUCAACACUUGUCAUUUUUUUUAUCUUUUUCUUUCUACCACGUCAAAUCACUAAUGCGUAUAAUAUGAAUGGACAAAAACAAAUAUAUCUUACAUAAUAUAGUAUCGAAGAUUAAGUGUCCGGAUAUCGAAUGCACGUGACUAAUUGUGUUCUUAAAAUAAUAUAUUUUAUUUUGCAACUAAGUAAUUGAGGAAAGAAAUUAAAUUAAGAUGGAUUGAUGAUCAAUUAUCUAAUGCAAGAUCAAAUCUAAACGAGUAAGAUAGUAUCGAGUAAGAUAGUAUGAAAGAGAAGAUGAUUUCAGGCAUACCAAUUCCACCAAUCCUAAUUCUAACAAGAUUCUUAGGAUUGUUAAUUGUCGAUUUUCUAAAGUCAAUUAUUAGUCAUUGAUUGUGGUCAAUUAUUAAUCAAUUUCCUAAUUAACCUACUAGAGGUUAUCCAACCAGUUUGGCAUGCAGUUUGAUAUAAAACACUUUUUUCCUAAUUCUACCAAUUACAUGUAAAUGAUCACUGUUAAGCAAUCAUUUAUGUAUUAGUAAGUCCAUUUCCACCAACCAAUUUGGUCAUGUAGUUUGGUAUAAAACACUUUCUUCCUAAUUCUACCAUUAAAUGCAAAUGAUUACUAUUAUGCAAUCAAUUAUGUAUUAGAACAUCCAUUUCCAAAAUAGAAAUUAAAAGUAAAGAAGAUAAUCAAUUAACUAAAUGACAUCGAGAAUUUCAUUAAAAUUAAGAAAGGAGUUCAAACUAGGUUACAUCAUAAUAAUCGAACUAGGGAGACUAGUUGCUCAUUGUACACACUAUUACAAAAAAAAAAAUUUUAACGUGUCUUACUUGGCACCUUGCUUGCAUGAGUAAGUACAAGUGUACAAUCUGUUUUAAAUUAUGUGUGUAUUGGUUUGUUCUAAUGGAUUGGUUUGUUUGAGAAAUAGAUCAAAACAACUAGAAAGAUCAUGCAUCAAAGAUAGAAAAUGGUGGUGAGUCUAGGAGGAUUUCUAGGUCUUUUAUACAAUGAUGUCAAUGUGACAUGUGAGCAUUUUCAUGGGAGAAAGAUAGAGAGAAAAAGAGAGAGGUAGGGGUGACAUGGAUGAAGUUACCAUUACCAAACAAUUUAAUAUCAUUUUAUUCCUCAAAUUAGUCACUUUAGUUCUUGAAAAAAAAAAGUGUUAUGGUUACUAUAAAUUAUAAAAAAACACCCCUAAAAUCUUCAUUUUUGACUCUUAUUAUGUAGAUAAUGAACAUCAUCUUAUUUUACUAACGAAGUUUGUAGAUGGCUAAAAGUAGGGAUUAACUUGGAUAACAUAAUUCAAUGUCAAAGAUUUAUUUUUCAUGUAUCUAAUUUUAGGAACUAAUAUUUUUUUAUUGGUAAGAAUUGAGCAUGGUAUUAAAAAAUUUACAAUACUCACACAUCUUACUCAACCAAUUAAGUUAGACCCCUUAAUAUUUUAGGAACUAUACCCCCACAAUUUUAGAGACUAAAAUGAUGAUUUGAUCCUUUUUAUUUUUUGUCGAAGAUGAAGAAAAAAGGAAGAAAAAAAGAUUUAGAUUUUUUAAAAAAUAUCUUUAUAUCUAUUCAUAACUUUUAAUCUUAAAUAAGAAUAUGAUGCGUUCUUUGUUAGUAAGAAGCAACAAAGGAAUAAGAAUAACAAAAAAGCACAUGAUAGGAAAUGAGAGCAACCAAGUCAGAGAAUAUCCUCUAGACUCCAAAUUUCAUUCAAAUCCCUCGUACCCCUUACAAUGACCGCCUUCCUUACAUAUAACUGAAUUCCCCUCUCCAUUGAUUUUCUCCUCUAACAAACUUAUUCCCCCUCUCACAAAAGGCUACUGCUAAAUAGACAAAUUUGCCCUCUUGGGCCUGAUGGCAUAUACUUGAUCAAAUCUACUCUUGGACUUUAAGUAUUUUGAGUUGCAAAAUAAUUUUAUAGGAUUUAAGUAUUUUGAGUUGUAAAAUAAUUUUAUAUUUUAUGAAUACUGUGAGUUAUUAAAUAAGUUAUGAGAUUAUAUUUUAUUAUGAAUGAGUUACUUAGGGGGUGUUUGGUUUGGUUAUUUUCUGUUUUCAUUUUCACCGAAAACAGAAAACGGUGAUGAAAAUGUGUUUGGUUGGAUUUCUGAAAACAUUUUCAGUGAAAAUGAAAACAGGAAACAGCCAGAAAAUGAAAACAAUAAAUUUUCGUUUUCAGUGUUUUCAGUUGAGAACAGAAACCUCAUUUCAGGUAAAAUAAAAUUGUGAUGACAAUGAAUGUAUUUUUAAACAAAUCUAAAAAUACAAAAAGACAAAAAGUCAAUAUAUCAUAAAUUUUCAGUAUUUUUAUUUCAUGAAAACAGAAAAUAAGAAGUCAAACCAAACAUAUUUUCAGAAUUCUAAUCUUUUGAAAAUGAAAACAAUUUUCAGAAAAUGAAAACAGAAAAUGAAAAUGCAAACCAAACACACCCUUAAAUUGCUUAAAGGUUUAUGACUUAUCUUUUUUUGUUUAUCCGAUAAUACAAUUUUUAAGUUUGAGGAUUUUAUUUUAUGGGAUUAUAUUUUAUUGUGAGUAUAUGUAUAAUAUUGAUUUUAAAAAAAUGUCCCUUACUAAUUUUUAAGUUUGAGGAUUUUUUUUUCAAAACUUAAAGAUGUGUUAAUUUUUUAACGGUCCAAUUCUAUAACCAACCCAAUCCAAUCUUAUAUAUAAAAGUUAGAUUAGAUUAGAUUGAGUUGUAAAAAAAAGGUAAGCUCAAUCUAACCCAAUCCAAUUAAAUUUAAUUAGAUUAGGUUGAAAAGGAAAUAAAACUUAACUCAAUCCAGCUCCUAAUCUAAAAUAUACAUACUAUGCCAACCUUCUUGGUAUUGGAUAGAAAUUUCACUAUUAAUUAAUAAUGUUGUAUUGUCUGCCAUAUUUUAGGUUCUAUAUUUGGUUUAAAGGUGGGAGGAAAAUAAUUUUAAUGAAAGAGGGAGAAGAAAAGAGAGGUGAUUACACGUUUUGUUUGGUUUAGAGAAGAAGAGAGAUUUUAAUAGAAUGAGAGAAAAUAAUCAUUUUCUUGUUUGGUUCAUAACUAGAGAAGGAAUUUUGAAAAUUAAUUUCCUUGCAUGUUUAUAUAAUUUUAUUUUCCAAAACAUAAGUAGAGAUAUUUUAGUUAAUACUCAUCAAAUAUGUUUUAAAUGUUUUUAUUUUUUUUCUCCCAAAAAUUAAACCAAAUUAUAAAAUUUUAUAAAAAUAUAUCCCUACAUCCCUCUUCCACCAUUUUCUUUUAACCAAACACUAUAUAUGUUAGAGUGAAUUAAUUAGAAAGAGAAAAAAAAAAACAAAAAGAAAGAAAGUAAUAAAUAUGAUAUAUAAUGUGACUAACAAGUUGAUCCGGUCAACGGUAAAAACAACUCAAAUUUAUUAAUAUAUUUUAAAAUAAUCUCAUUUUGGUAAUUAGUUUAUAAUUUCCCUUCUCAUCUUUCUCUCUUUUUUUUCCUACUUUGAAAGUAAUAAAUGUAAUACACAUUAAAUAAACACAUUCUAUUUGGAUAAUUAAAAAAAGUACAUAUCUAAAAUAUACUAUGCCAACCUUCAUGGUUUGGAUAAGAUUAUUUUUCCAAAAUCAAAUUCAGUUUCAGUCAAAACAAAAAAUAAUUAUUUCUACUUUUUCAUCAUAAUUUUGAGAACUUAAAUUGAUUCCAGUAGUUAUCCAAACACACCAAUAUAGGGUGGAUUCAAAAUGAAAGAAUAGAAGAAAAUAAAAGAUAGAAAAAGAAUAGUGUAAAUAUGAUAAAUGAUGUAACUAGUGAAUUGAUCAGGUCAAUGGUAAAAAGCAUCUAAAUCUCAUAAUAUAUCACAUUUUAGUCAUUAGUUUCUUAGAGUGUCCUGUUUUGGUGAACCAUUCCUUAGUAAAAUUACUCUUACCUUAAAGGACUUGCAUGUGUGUGUGUAUAUAUAUAUAUAUAUAUAUUAACUUUUGCAAAACUUUUGUUUGCGGCUAGUAAGAUCAGAGCCCUAUAAAAAUGUAGCCAAUAACCCAUAUUCCCACAUAUGUUCUAAAUCCACUAUUCAUCCAAAUGAAGAAUAUGUUUCUCAUCCUUUUCUUUUCUGCUCUUCUAAUUUCAUCCACUUCUAAUGCUUCUAACGUCAAUGAUUUCUGCGUAGCAGACCUCAAGGGUACAAAUAGCCCUUCUGGCUCUAACUGCAAGCCCGCUGAUACAGUAACAGCAAAUGACUUUGUCUUCACUUUUCAACCUGCAAACACAUCUAACCCUAUCAAAACUGGAAUCAGCACUGCAUUUCUUAAAGACUUUCCUGCUCUCAAUGGUCUUGACAUCUCUGCAGUACGUGUAGUUAUCGAUAAAGAUGGAUUUAUUCCAUUGCAUUCACAUCCUCAUGCCACUGAACUAAUAAUCGUGGUGGAAGGUCAAAUCACUGCUGGAUUCAUGGCAGCUACCAAAGCUUAUGUGACCAAGACACUGAAACCGGGAGAUCUUAUGGUUAUCCCACCAGGACAAUUGCAUUUUCUAGCAAAUUAUGAUCAAAGAAGAGCCACUGUUUUUGCUGCUUUUAGUAGCUCAAACCCUACUGUCCAUUCUUUUAAUAAUAUAUUUGCCAACAAUGUACCCUCUAAUGUACUUGCCCAAACUACCUUCCUUGAUGUUGCCCAAGUGAAGAAGCUUAAGGCUCGUUUCGGUGGCAGAAACUAGGAUAUUAUUGCUUGCUUAUUGAUUAAUUAGUUAGUUAAUGUGUUUGUUCCAAUGAUCAUAAACAAUAAACACUGAUUAUAUUCUUUUGUGUCUGAUAAGAUUAUAUAUACUCUUUCGAUCCCUUCAUCACUUAUAUACUAGAUUUUGAGUUCUCCCUUGAUUUUGUGCAUGUUCAGCUUUCAGGUGAUGCUUCAUGAACUUUGUAAUCUCGAUUAGUUGUUCUGGCUUUUAGCUGCCUUUAUGACAACAACAACAAAAAUGUUUAUGUAGACUUAAACUUGUGUUUGGAACGAGACCAAGUUGAUUUUCUUUAUGCCGAAAAGUUUUUGACGAGUGUACUACACAAGAUAAAGAUAAAAAAAUUAAAAUGGAGAAUUUUUUUUAAGAGUCGGUCUAUUCUAAUCCACAAUAUGAUAUCUGGAUGAUUUUCUUAAUUACAAAUAAUUAGGUAUGUUGAUAAACUACUCAAUAAACACCUUAGAAGAAUAAAAUAGAAUAACAAAUAAAAUAAAUAUUCAGUUAACUGCAAAACUCUUUGUUCUCCCUACAAGAAUGUUCAGUUGCCAUUCUUGUCAUCGACGAUGACAACCUCCGCAAGUAGGUCUUCGAUUCAACCCGCACAGUUCAGAGUCGUACAUGUAGAAGGUGCAUUAAAAUGUGGCAACUUGGACGGGGAACUUCUAUAUAAAAAAAAAAGGCUUGGACGGAGAGACGAGAAAAUGUUAGCGGUAGUUGGAGAGAGAAAGACAACAUUUUUGUGAAGAAAAAAUUGUGUCUUUUUCUUCUAUUACUGGGUUUUUUUUUUUUGCUGUGAAAGAACAAUCAAAGUAUUCAUUUGUCAACACUUCAGCACAUGUGUGUGAUUUGUCAUAUCAUGAUCACUUCAAUGUAUUUUAUUAAAUAAUAAAGACAAUUAGAUAAACAAACUCUUUAGUAUCUGAAAAUACUCAUUUAAUUGAUCCCAACACCCCAAUUAUUUGAUGAUAUUUAUGGUCAUAUAUCGAUUAUAUUUGCCCUUUUCGGCUUGAACUGGUUGAGAAUAUUUGAAUUUGAAUCCGUCCAUAACCAAUUACCCAUAAGCCUAAUUUACUUAUUCUGUAUGUAUGAAAAACAUGACCAUUAUCAACCAGACGAAGCUUACAAAUUUUUACCCCUUCAUGACACUGCGGUGUGUCAAAAGGAUUUGUAUUUGGACAAGAAAAUGGUACAAUAAUUUCCACACUAAAGGAAGAGAAGUGAAGGUAUUAAAAAAAAAGUAUGAGGUAAAAUAUCAAUAUGUUGAAAAGACAGAAAAACACAUAAUAUUAUAAAAUAUAAAAUUAAAUAUGUUCUUGGUAUUUACUAAUGUUUGUUUUUGUUCCUUAAAAAAUAUUUAUCAUUCAUGAAAAUGUGUUGCUCGCAAUUCUUAUAUAUUUUUCAUAUAUGAGUAUUUAUUUGUUAAAAACACAUUUCUAGAGCAAAUAAACAAACAAAAAAUGGCAUUUUACAUAUACUAAAAGUAAAUGUUCUGUUUACAUAAUCAUAGAUAUCUUCCUAAUAUGAAUACUUCUAUCACCUUAUGACCUUAAAAUUAUAAAUAAAAAAAAUAUUGUAUGAGUAAUUGUUGUAAUUUGUUCUAACAGUAAUGUAGUACUAUCAGUUAAGCUUAAUUUCAACACUCUACCCGACACAUGUUUAAUUUUACCUUUCUGUUUUGUUUUGUUUCCACUUAUUAGUGUAUGUAUUUAUUGUUACUACUAGUAGCCAAAUUCUCCGAAACAGGGCCAAACAAUGUGAGCAGAGAAACAUUACUACAGUAAUCUUUAUAGUUAGCAAACAUAUUCAUAACAAAUUACAUCUAAAAAAGAAUUAUUCCUUAGCGAAGUUUCUUUUAACUUGAUAGUUAGCAAACAUAUUUAUAGCUAAUGUAUCAAAAAUUCUUGUCCAUUCCUCGGUAGCUUGAAUAGUUGUGAUAUCAUCUAUGUCAAAUACUAAAUUUUCUACUGCACCCAUUCCCUUCCGUGUUAAUUCCUAUGGUUUUUAUGUACAAUAAUAUGUUACUUUUGCCUUUGUACAUUACAGAAUAAGCAAAACAGUGACAGCGUGACUAUUAAUUGCAAGUUGCAAUAUUCUUUUCUAUUUUCCUUUUGUUUUACACAUGAACAAUCCUGCAAAAUAAUAAGGUUAUUGCUGAGAUGACCUAAUCAUGCUCUAUUUUGGAAAUGAUGCGUUCUGGUAUUAAAAUAUGCUUUCUAUGAUUUUUAUUUUAUUUUUUUGUUCCUGGUUGCUUUAACCUAGUGUUUUGCCCCAUAGGUUAUCAUCAAUCACCAGGCUCUUCCUUGCCUUCUAAUCUAUUGACCAAUAAUUAUUAAAAAAGCAUCAAGAAGGAAGCUUGUUGGACCAUAUCAAACAUCACAACCGGUAAUAAACAGCAGAUUCAGGUAUAGUUACUUGUUCAUCAGUCCCUUCCCCUUUUGCAUAAUUGCAUGCACGUACAGAUUAUCAGAUGCAAGCCUGGACUUUUGAGUCUAUAGAUUAUUACAUUUUAACGAUGGAAAAAUGAAUUCAAAAGUCAAACUUAAUCAGAUUUUGCCAAAGGAGAAGAUAGAAGAAAAAUAAUCACGAUAGUAAUCAACCUGAGGUGGAAUGUGGAUUUCAGAAUAUGGAUUUUAUGAUUAUUGUAUCGUUAUGAAUCAUCAAACUAGUAAGGACCAAAAGUGGAAUUGUUGGUUGGUUAAAAGUCUUUAUUGGCAUUACUAUGUUAACACUUGACAUUAUUGGAGAAUAGAGACAAUAUUCUUUAACCAUUAGUAUUAGAGGCAUGAGGUAUUUUAGAUUCUUCAUCUUAAUGCCUAAGAUUAAAAUGGGACCUUGUAUACAAGGUUUGAGCCUGAAGCAUUCAUGUGAUCACUUACUAAUGCAGUUCUAAUUACUGAGAUUUCUCUUGUACUAUUAAAAACUCCUAUUGUGAUUUGUGCUAUAUCUUUGUUUCUUUCUCCUUUAUUCUAGAACUUAAAGUUAAUUAUUUUGCUGGCACAGGCAUUUGGUUGAUUGACACCAUAGAGGUCUUUAUCUGGGAGUUAAUGCAGAAUUCCAGAUCAUGUAUUUGCAUUUUUAAGAGCAAAUGCAUUUUUAUUCUUUCACAACGUAAAAGUAGCUUGUUUUAGGCACGUUUUAGCUCUACCGCACACUGUUUAAUUCCUUGAUCUGCAUGUUACUUGACUUAAAUACAAUUUGAGACUUACGGAUAAUGCAAUGGUACAACCCCUUUAUAUUUUCUGAUGACAUAAAACUGUACAAUUACUUGAAUUACAGUUGCUAAUUUUUCAAUCUUCAAUCAUUAUAGAAGCUUAAGGAACAAUCACAAGCUUCUUCUGUUCCUUUUCACAAACUUCUAAAAGUCAUAUAAACUCUCUCAUUCUUUAUUAUUCUCUAAAACUUCAAGGUUUUAUGGGCUUGGAUCUUUUUUAGAUAUUUUUUUAGAGAAAUUUAUCAGAGGGAACAAAUAACAAAUGCCAUUCAGCCUCCAAUGAAUUAAACACGGUGAAGAAUAAACACAAAGUGAAGAAACUAAAAUUCUAGAAGAAUAAACACAAGCACCAAAUUUGCAAAAAUGCUCACAGUACAAAUUAAUGAAAUCAAACAAUGAAUAUCCACAGUACAAAAUCAAUGAAAUCAAACAUUUAAAUAAAAAAUAAAUCAAAAAUUAACGAAAAAAAAAUGAAUACACUGUGGCACAGCGAGAGUGUGGAUUGAAAUCGCAAGGAAAACUUACUUGUGAGCGAACGUUAUGUGUGGUGCGUGAGAGUGACUGAGAGGGAGAGAGAGCUACGGAGAGAACUAGUGUACUAAGAGGGAGAGAAAGCGCUAGCGUCGUGUGCGUGAAAGUGACUGAAUUUGAUUUUGAAAAAAUAAUCUUAUCCAAACACCUUUUAUACGUUACCAUGAAGGUUGGCAUAGUAUAUUUUAGAUAUGUCCUUUUUUUAAUUAUCCAAAUAGAAUGUGUUUAUUUAAUGUGUAUUACAUUUAUUACUUUCAAAGUAGGAAAAAAAAGAGAGAGAAAGAUGAGAAGGGAAGUUUGAAUAUUUUUAUCCAUUAGAGAAAUGCUUACCCGGAAGAGAAUAUAAAUUUAAAGGUAAGUAAUUGUAUUAAAGGCUGGUUGACCAAAGUAGGGGUACUAUUAUAAACUAAUUAUCAAAAUGAGAUUAUUUUAAAAUAUAUUAAUAAAUUUGAGUUGUUUUUACCGUUGACCGGGUCAACUUAUCAGUCACAUUAUAUAUCAUAUUUAUUACUUUUUUCUUUUUGUUUUUUUUUUCUCUUUCUAAUUAAUUUACUCUAACAUAUAUAGUGUUUGGUUGAAAGAAAAUGGUGGAAGAGGGAUGUAGGGAUAUAUUUUUUUAUAAAAUUUUAUAAUUUGGUUUAAUUUUUGGGAGAAAAAAAACAUUUAAAAUAUAUUUGAUGAGUAUUAACUAAAAUAUCUCUACUUAUGUUUUGGAAAAUAAAAUUAUAUAAACAUGCAAGGAAAUAUCUCUACUUAUGUUUGAUGGUUUGUUCGGUUGAUCUUUACAGUAUUAGAGACGGGUUAUUGAGACGAAAUGUCCUAUGUCUAAUAAAUGUUAACUGAUGAUAUUUAUCUUGAUUACUAGUUUCUAAAAGUGUCCUAAUUAAUUUGAUCAAUCAUUUUUUUUAUAAAAUUACUCUUUUCUCAUUCUUUUCUUUUCCGCUCUUCUUUCAUCCACUUCCUAUGCUUCCAAUGUGAAUGAUUUCUGUGUGGCAGACCUUAAAGGUCCAGAUAGCCUUUCUGGCUAUCCUUGCUUGCCACCUACAACACUUACAGAUGAUAACUUUGUGUUCAAUCUUCAACCUGCAAACACCUCACAGUUCCCUACUAUCAAAGCUGGAAUUAGCACUGCAUUUGUUAAUGAAUUCCCUGCCCUCAAUGGUCUUGACAUCUCUGUAGCGCAUGUAGCUUUCGAAAAAGAUGGGUUUUUUCCAAUGCAUUCUCAUCCUGAUGCCACUGAACUAAUCAUCUUGGUGGAAGGUGAAAUCACUGCUGGAUUCGUCACCGGUAUGAAUUCGAUUGCUUAUCUGAAGACGCUGAAACCCGGAGAUCUUAUGGUUAUUCCACCAGGACAUUUGCAUUUUGUAGCAAAUUCUGGUAAUGAGAAAGCCACUGGUUUUGCCACUUUCAGUAGCUCAAACCCUACUAUCCAUUCAUUCAACAAUAUAUUUGCCAACAAUAUACCUUCUGACAUACUUGCACAAGCUACAUUUCUUGAUGUUGCCCAAGUCAAGAAUCUUAAGGCUCGUUUUGGUGGCAGCAACUAGUAUGAUUAAUUGCUAGCUUAUAAUUAAUUAUGUGCUGGCUCCAAUGGUUUUUCUUUUUUAUAAGAUGUGUUUGCUCCAAUAAUCAUCAACAAUAAAGUUAUUUACUUGUAUGUUUCCCUUUUUCAUUUUUUGUCCAAUCUCAAAUCUUAAUAUACUUGUUGGCUCCCUGACUGCGAACGAAAUAACUACAAGGAAAUAACCCCGGAUAGGUGAAGAAAGAAAGAUCGACAAGCAUUCGAAUUUUUCAUAAUAAAAGCACACUUUAUUUUAAUUUAGUUUUUGUUGAUUUAUUUUACUUGCAUUUUUUUUAUCAAUGGAAAGAAUAAAAAAGAAGUAGGCAGAAGAAAACUAAUGGCAGCGGACAUUGGUCACAACUCACAAGUCUGAAAACUGGGCGAUGAUUGGCCACCUUACUUUGCUAACUAGUCGGCUAUCUUUUUCCUUCACUAAAAGUGUGAGAGAAUUGAAUAUUUCAUUGUUGUUGCUUAAAGGAAUGAAUCUUUGUAAUGAGAGUUGCGUAUAUGGAUGACAUGAAUGUACUCCAAGAUUGAUAAGCUCCAAAGGGACUUUUGAAUCCAUUUCACAUAUAAUAUGAUGCGCACCCAGGGAAUGCCAAGAACCAACGCAAAUAGUUCUGUAUGAAGGGAUGUAAUAACCCCACAUGAUCAAUAGAAACGUGUUACUCAUUCACCAGUUGUGUUCUUCCUAAUUACUCCUCCGACGCCUACUUUGCCCAGAUUCCCAAGAGGAGAACCAUCAGUGUUCAACUUCAAGAAAUUUGGUGGUGGCAGACUCCGUGAGAUAUAGAUAACUGAGUUGUCCCUAUUGUUGGAACACACACUGUUCCUCACUUAAUUGCAAGAGAUGCAAUUCACUCCCUCACACAUUCCCUCGUGUAUCACUCACUGUUUUCUAAGCAUAGAAUUGCACACACACUAGGAAUAGCACUAGAGACUGAAAAUGAUAGAAUGAAAACAACACUUUAUUAAGAUGUAUGAUUGCCCUUUUAUACAAGCAAAACAAAGUAACAACCCUUCACUCUUAGGUUAGCACUUAUAACAGAAUUUUAAAAUUCUGCUACUCUCUCUUAUAUACAAAGCCAAAACAGAAUUAAACUCUCACACCCUCCCUUAAUUCUGAUCUCCUAAGUCCAUCAAGCCAAUUCUGUCCCUUAACAUUUUAAACCUCUCCCCUUUGAGAGGUUUGGUUAAAAUAUCAGCAAGUUGAUCAAAUGUGCAGCAGUACUCCACUUUUAAUUUCUCUUUGUUCACUUGAUCCCUAAGAUAGUGAAAUUAAACCUUGUUUCUAUGUGUUUGCUUCUACCAUGAGAGGUUGGAUUCUUUGAUAGGCUUAUAGCUGACUUAUUAUCCACAAAAAGCUUCACUCCAUCACUCUCCUUGAUUUUUAAUUCCUGUAGUAAUGUGUCCAACCAGACAGCUUGACAAGCACUCAUUGCAACUGCAACAUACUCAGCUUCACAUGUUGAUAGAGCCACUAUGGAUUGCUUCUUAGAACACCUCGAUAUUGGUGCUGCACCAUACAUGAAUAUGUAACCUGUAGUACUCUUUCUGUCAUCUCUGUCUCCUCCCCAAUCUGCAUCAGUAUAUCCCAUCAAUUCCUCUGAGUUGCUAUUGUCUUUAUUUGGAAAUAAAAUUCCAGCAUUGAUGCCCCCUUUUAUGAACCUUAGAAUCCUCUUGGCAGCUAAGAGAUGAGGAAUUCUGGGUCCUUUCGUAUAUCUACUUACCAGUCCAACAGCAAAUUCCAAAUCAGGUCUUGAAUGACACAAGUACAUGAGAGAACCAACAAUCUGUUUGAACUCAAUUGCAUCGACUUUGUCUUCCUUGCCCUCCUUUUCAAGUACAAGACCUGCCUCUGUUGGUGUUGCUGCUGAAUUACAUUCAACCAUGUUGAAUCUCUUCAAUAUUUCUGUUGCAUACUUGCUCUGGAGCAUCAAAAUACCUCUCUCAGUCUUCUUGAAUUCAAGUCCAAGGAAAUAGGAUAGAACCCCCAUAUCAGUCAUUUCAAACUCACUCAUCAAUUCCCUUUUUAGUUCUGCUAUUUCACUUUCAUUACCACCAGUGAUCAACAAAUCAUCCACAUAGAGGCAUAUAAUAAUGAUAUUACCUACUGACUUGGAUCUUACAUAGACUCCAAACUCACAGCUACACUUAUCAAAGCCAAUUUUCAUCAUAAAACUGUCAAUUUUAUUGUUCCAAGCUCUUGGGGCUUGCUUAAGUCCAUAAAGAGCUUUUCUCGACCUGAGAACCUUUGACUCUUGGCCAGCUAUAGAGAAUCCAAGUGGCUGAGUAACAUAGACCUCCUCAUCAAGAGGACCAUUUAAGAAAGCACACUUCACAUCUAGUUGGUGCACUGUCCAAUUCUUUAGGCUAGCAAUUGCCACUACUGUUCUAAUAGUCUCAAUUCUAGCAACUGGUGCAAACACCUCUCUGUAGUCAAUCCCAACUUUCUGCAAAAAUCCUCUAGCCACAAGUCUAGCUUUAUACUUGACCACCUUGCCUUCUGGAUUUGUCUUAAUCUUAUAGAUCCACUUCAUAUCAAUGGGCUUCUUUGAUUUUGGUUGAGAUACCAGCUCCCACACUUGAUUUUUCUCAAUAGAUUUAAGCUUUUCUAUCAUAGCUUCAACCCACCUCUGAUCAGUCAUAGCAUCUUCAAAGUUUAUUGGUUCUGCUUCAGAAAACAGAGCAAAAUGUACAAGAUUCCCAUCUGCACUUACAUCAGCAUCAAACAACAUCUCAAAACCUUGAAAUCUAGCUGGUUUGGGUGCAUUUCUCUGGGGUCUCACUUCUCUUUGAGUGGUAUUACCAUUCCCUUCACUUGUUUCUUCCUCUUCUGACCUUAUCAUUAUUGAAGGUCCUUUCAUUUCAGUAUUCUGCUCCCAGUUCCAGCUUCUAGAUUCAUCAAAUACCACAUCCCUACUAAUUAUUAUCUGCUUACUCUUCGGAUCAAACAUCUUAUAGCCUCCAGUUGAGUGAUAUCCGAGUAAGAUCAUUUGUUCACCUUUAUCAUCUAGCUUCCUUCUUAACUGAUCUGGGAUAUGCCUAAAACAAAGUGAUCCAAAGAUUCUGAAAUGGCUCACAUUUGGUUUAGCACCACUCCAAGCUUCUUAAGGUGUUAUUCCUUCCAAUCUCUUUGAAGGGCUCCUAUUCAAGAUGAAGACAGCUGUAGACACUGCCUCUCCCCACAAGUACUUGGGCAGACUCUUGCCUUUCAACAUGCUCCUUACCAUAUUCAUUAUGGUUCUGUUUUUUCUUUCUGCAGCUCCAUUAUGUUGAGGUGUGUAGGGAGGAGUCACUUCAUGAAUUAUGCCUUCUUGAUCACAAAAUUCUUGAAAUUCUAUAGAAACAUAUUCACCUCCACCAUCUGUUCUUAAUAUCUUGAUCAAUGAGUCACUUUGCUUUUCUGCCAUAUUUUUGAACUUCUCAAAGACUUCAAAGACAUCACUCUUCCUUCUUAUUAGGUAAACUCAUACUUUCCUAGUCAAUUCAUCAAUAAAGGAUAUGAAGUAUCCGUUUCCACCCAGAGAUUCAGUUUGCAUAGGGCCACACACAUCAGAGUAAAUCACCUCAAGUUUCUCUUUUGCCCUGAUUGGUACAUUUUGUUUGAAAGUGCUUCUUGAUUGCUUACACUGUAAAUCAGCUGUAGACACUGCCUCUCCCCACAAGAAUGUGAUAACUCAUUCCCUGUGUGUUGUUUCUUUUUGGAUCUUGUGAUGAUCUCGAACCUUGUGUUUGUGGGAACAAAUGGUUAGGUGGAUAGCUUUAGAAAACCUCGUGCUAGAGGACGCCGAGACACAAUGCUCUGAUAGGACGUGACACUGGGACAUGAGUUUAAGCAUUAAUUACAUAAAGUUCUCGACAUGUAGUUUUUAUCAUUUUUGUUUCACAUGUUGAGUCUUUAGUUCAUUCUCUGGAGUUUUGGAUGACCUUGUUUUGAGCCGGAAAUGUUUUCAUACCCCUAAUUGAUAAGUUUUUUUAAUUUGGUGACUAAUGUGAAUAUGAACCUUUUACCCACAUGAACUCCUUAUAUUUAUUGAAUAAAAUCAUUUCAUGUAAUUCUGUAUUUCCAUGUAUUUUAUUAUAUAAAUAUGUAUAUCGGGGUAGAGGGUGUUAGAGUGUGUAUGUAAUAGAUUAUGUUUGUCAUUGUACAACAAUAAUAUAUAUUUUAAAUUCUAACUUAAGGUAGUUUAUAUAUACUUUCUAAAAAAAUAUGUUGCAUGCUCAAAUUUUAAACAAGUUCAUAGUUAUGCUUCUAAAUAUGAUGAAUUUUAUUAAACAUUAAAUUUUAAGUGUACAAGUUUACAUAUUAAUUUUUUUUAAUAUAGACCGAGUCAUGUGGGUCAACUAAUGACUCAUUGGGUCACUGGGUCACUGGGUGACCUAGUACCCCGAUUGAGUCAAUGAAAAAUUCGAGUAUGAUAAUACUGCUACAGGACCAAACCCACAUUGUACCUAAUAUGGGAUUAGGGCCAUUAAUGUUAUUUUUAAAAGUGAUUUUUUUCCAACUGUCCAAAAAAUAAUUUUAAAUUAAUCGACUAGGAUUAAUUUUAGUCGACCUCAACUAGGAUUAUUUGCUACCGACCUUGACAAAGGCUAUUUUUGGACGACCUCAAUGCGGAUUUUUUCCCCACCUCGUUCAAAGCAUUUUUUAUUGACCUUCGUCAAGGCAAUUUUGGACUGACCUUGUUAGGGUUGUUUUGGUCGACUUCGAUCAGAGCUAUUUUUGGUUGAACUCAAUCAAGGUUGUUUUUGGCUGACCUCGGUCAUGACUAUUUUUGGUCAACCUCGGCCAUGACUGUUUUCAGUCUACCUUGGUAGGGGUCGUUUUUGGCUAAACUUGGCUAGGGUUAUGUUCGACCAAUAUCAGCUAGGGUUAUUUUUUACCAACUCCGACCAGGAUUGUUUUUUGUCAACCACACCCAGGGUUAUUUUCUAUUGACCUCGAUCAAGUCUAUUUUUGGUUGACCUUGGUUGAGGUUGUUUAUGGUCGACCUCAACAUGGCUCAUUUUGGUUGACCUUGGCUAAGGUUAUUUUUUGUCAACCUCGGUUAGAGUUGUUUUUGGAUGACAUUGACGAAACUCUUUUUGGAUGACCAACCUAGACUAGGGUUAUUUUUGGCCAACCUCAACUACGGUUAAUUUUGGCUAAUCUCGCCUAUGGUUAUUUUCAGGCGAUAUUGUGUACGAUUAAUUUUGGCCAACCUCGGUUAUGGUUAUUUUUGGCCAACCUUGGUUGAGGUUAUUUUCAGCCAACCUCGACUAGGGUUAAUUUUGGCCGAUCUUGGCUGAGGUUAUUUUCGGCCAACCUCAACUAGGGUUACUUUUGGUCGAUUUCAACUAACCUCUUUUAUACAAUUUUUUACAUGCUCUACUAUAUAAAAAUAAAGAAGUAUGAUAUUGAAAUAUAUAUUUGAAUUAUGAGAAUUGAAAAGAAGGUCUAAUUUUUCGGCCCAUGGGCUAGUCCUAGCCCAUAAGCCUUUGUGGGCUUUUUCGCCCUAUGGGCCAUUUAUAUAUGUGGCCCAUUUUGGCCCUAGCCCACAUGGGCCAAGGCCAAAUGGGUUAGGGUUAGCUUAUUUGACAAGUCUAGUUAUUUGAUUCCACCACAAAUAACACAACGAAAUCAUGCAAUUACCCUUUUAAGCAACAACAUUAUGAUUUCGUUGUGUUUUUAAAAAAAUAGUUUUUUUACAAGAAAUUUUUUGUUUUCGUAAAAGUAAACUUUAAUGUUUUAUAUUGUGAUUUAAUAAUCAUAUUUAUGAUGGUAUGACAAGCCAACAGUGUCCUAGCUUGAUGCAAUGUGAAUCGUUUAUUUUGUCGGUGCAAUCUUGGUUGUUGCUGAUAAUUGACUCACGAUAGAACAAUACAAUAUGAUAAUAAAUACGAUUGGUAUGAGGAUGCUCAAUGCAUUGUGUUGGAUCUUUCACUAUAUUAGGUUGAAGAUGGAGGGGAGUAGUUGCUAUUGUGUAUUAUGAUGGUGAUGUGGUACAAACUUCUGAGGAGGUAUAGUUUGAAUGUCUAAAUGGUCCUAAAUUCAUAAAAAUUAGUGAGGAAAUGUUGCUUAUUGCUUUGAGGAAAGUAGUCACAAAUGUCAUCAAAGGCAAAAGAAGCAGGCAGAAGAAGCUUAUUUGAGGUUUUUUUUUAUCGUAAACAUAUAUAUGUAGGUAAUGGUUGUGCUUAGUAUGACUGCAUGGAGCUUAAAGACACAAUGAAGUGGGGAAAGCGUUUUUCAUCUUUUCAUAAUUUAGUUCUAAAGGUCUGAUCAAGUUGUAUGCAAUGGUUAGCUAUCUCCAAAAGAAUUCUUUGCCCUGGUGAGAAACCAAGAAAACCAAGACCUACCGAAGAAAUCAUUUCUAUGAUGUGUGGAUCAAUGGUGACAACAAGCUCUAAUGAAGAUCAUAACUCUAUUUAGUCAUGUUUUAAUUGAUGAAAUUUAUGUCAGUUUUGGUUGUUGUUGUUGUUGUUGUUUGUUUUUUGAAUUAAAUUGAAAUUUCGUUCUUUAUUACAUUAAUAGGCGUGUGUCAUUUAAACAUAUAAACAAGGCAAACAAAAACUACUAAAAAUAAGUUUUUAUAAAAAACAUCAUAAGUAAAAUACAUAAUAAUACAAAAUGAUUGAAAAAAAUCAUCAAAUGUCUUCAAGUGCCCUUAUGGCCACCUCCUCUGCCACCUUUGUUGGCUUUCUUCCUCGGCUACUCCUCAGUGACCUACAUCCAGCUGCAAGACCAUCGUGUGCCAUCAGCAGAAGUUGUUGUUUGACCUGAUGACUAUUUAUGCCUUUAGGUACAACUCUCAUGUCCAUUAGUCUCUAUGUGUACGCUGACAUCAUUUGGAAUCAAUCCUACAUAAAUAAAACAAUACAAUUAGUAAUUAUUUUUUUAUUAAAAAUAAAACAAAAUGAUGAAAAUAUUGUUUGCAUUACUUGAUAGGAGUAAACAACCCCUGAUACAUAAUCUAGCAUCUGAACACCACUAGCUCGUGGCCGAGGUUGAGGAGAAAUAUGUAUUAGGACUGUGUGGUGGCUCUCCCUCCUGUGGUGAAAGCAUGUAUGGAUGUGAAUGCUCUUAAUACCAAGGCAGGUAGUAUCGAGUGCAAGCCCAUGGAGCCCCAUGUGGAACAACCUUGACCACUGCCACUGCAUGCUUAUCUCACUCGGCCCAUGUCUGACAAUAAGGCUCAUAUUCUUUAGGAUGCUCAAAUGGGUCCAAGGGAAUCCAUUGUACGUACCCAAACUAUCUCAAAACCUUCUUUGAUAGAUAUAACCACAUGUAUAUCCUAACUCCAAUGUAGGCAGGGUACGAUGUCUAGUCGUCAAAAGGUAUGAGGUCUUUGGGUGAUGCAUAUUGGGACCAGACAACAUCAGUCAUCUAUAGCCUAUCCAAUAACUCCCUAGUCCCAACAACCUUGUUAGUACCCCUCAACGGCAUGUUGCGAUGCUUGCGGUCAUGAUCCAACACCUUUUCACUACAAGGAAUGGUCGAAAAAGGCUCAAACACCCAUGCUUGUAAAACAUGAAAUAUAUUUUUAGCAUCAAGUAGUACUAAAAAAAACAUCAAUUAUGUAUACAAAAUUAAAUUGUUCUUACUAUGAGUAGAGUCAUAUAAGCUCACAUAUGUUUGUUGGUAUACUUGUAAGCAUAUGUCAAUUGGUCAUAAAGAUAAGCCAACGUAGUUGCCCCCAAGCGUACUUAUAGCAUCAAUCCAAAUCACCGAGGUACUAGAGGUAGCAGAUGUGUACACUCGUCAAGUUCUUCUCGACAAAUAUGGUAUUGUCAAGCAAAUGCAGAAAAUACACCUUGGCAACCCAAACAAAUGACUCAUUGGAAACGUAACUGUGAUAAGGCUCUCUAACAAACUCAGAGGCACCUUAUUGCUUGAUGACGUUGCAACAUCUACCUCCUGGUCCAUCAUAAUUCCAAGCUCUAACCUUACUAGACCUCUAAUCUCCUUUGUGGCGUAGGUCGUGUCUGUUUGAUCAAGAAAACAAACGAUGAUAGAAAGAUGUAAAAGGCAUGACAAAUAAUUAAGGGUAAUGGUCAUCUCUCUUAUAGAAAGGUGGAAGGAGGAGGUCACACUGUGCCAUCUCUCAAUAAAGACAUUGACUACGCCUUUAUUUGUGGACAUGUACCGCGCAUCAUACAGGCCCUUUAGCCUUGACCUAUCCACGUACCUCUUCAUCAUUGAAUUGGUGGGGUAGUGCAUAACCUUGCCACCAUGGCUGACCAGCUUCAGCUCAUCUUUGGGUUGACUGAUCCAUACAUGGCCAACUAUGUGGUCCUUAUAGGAUCGAAGCAGACUCAAAUACAUAAGACUUCCUCCAAUUGGGGAUUUGAUGAUAUGGUUAGUAGGCGAUAUUUGUGGUUGUUGUGGCUUUGGUUGUGCCUUAGGCUAUGGCUCCGGUUGUGCCUGUGCCUCCGGCUCUUGUCAAGAAGCCUUUGAAUCACAACAUGCUGACAUAGUCACGCGUUGCCUCUGAAACUCAACAUCUGAUACAAAGGCAAUAAGCUUUGUGUGAUCCAUCUAAAAAGGGUAGGAAUAUCAAUUAAACAAUAAAUUAGAUAAUUUAAAAACAAAAAAUUGAUGAAUAACACAACAAAAUCGUAUUUCUGUUAUGGUUUUAUAAAAACAACAUAUCAAAAAUACGAUUUUAUUGUGCUAUUUGAUAAAUAAUACAACAUAACCGUAUUUUAAUUGUACUUUUUUCAAAACGAAAAAAAAUAACACAAUGGAAGUGUGAUUCCGUUGGGUUCUAGGUUCAUAAUCACAAUAGGAUCGUACUUCCAUUGUGUUUUUGUUUUGUUUUGAAAAACACCACAACAUAGUUACGAUUCAGUUGUGAUUUUCAACACAGGACAUAAUGGAACUAGUAUUCCAUUGUAUUCUGGGUUGAGAAUCACAAUGAAAUUGUACUUUUGUUGUGGUGUUUUCCAAAACAAAACAAUAAAACACAACAAAAGUAGGAUUCCGUUGUGAUUCUCAACCCAGAACACAACGAAAUCACACAACUAUUGUGUAUAAAAAAGAAAAAAAAUAACUUAAUAGAGCUCCAAAAUGAGAAAUGAAUGGAGAAGAGAGAAGGGUCUUCGACGAAAAUGAGAAAAUGAAAGGGAGCGGGAAAGAAUGAAGGAAGAGAAUGAGAGGGAGUGGGAUUGAAGGGACUUGGAUGAGAGGAAGAAAAUGAGAAGGAGUGAGUGAGAUAGAGAGAGGGAGAGAAAGAGAGAUGUUUAAGAGGAAGGGGAAAGGGUGGGGGUGAGAAGAAGGGGUGGGCAGAUGCGAAAGGGAAGGGGUGGGGGUAAGGGGAAAUUUCCUUAAGGACAAUUUCAUAUUUCCAUUACCAUUUUCAAAAAUGGUAGUGCCAAUAACAGUGGGAGGUAGUGAGAAUAACAAUUCCCAAAUAAGUGGAUUAUGCAAGCUAGCCUAUGAGCCCACAGAAUACGUCGUCAAGUCCACUGGUUUCAUGGGCCAAACUCAAGUAUUGCCUAUAGUUAUGUGGGUUAAAAAAAGCAGGUUCGUUAUCCACGCGGUCCGCUGGCUUAACGGGCUGACCCACGAACUUAGGCCCAUAUACCCACCUCUAGUGAUGGCGAGAUGAGGACGACAAUGAUAAUGACUACGAUAGCAACAAAAUAGUGAUAGUAGUGAUAUUGAGUGGUAGUAGAAAUAGUGGAGUGACAGUGAUUUCCUAUUUAAACGCCCAAGGUGGCUUUCCUAGUCCAAAAUUCGUUACACUAAAAAAGUGGCUCAAUAGGCCUAGAACGGGUGGAAAAGAAAAGUAAAUUUAAAUAAUAAUUGUAUAAUAUUUUUAUAUUAAAUAAAAAGUAAAUUUAUCUUUUAAAAAAACAUCAUCCCAUUUAAUGGUACAUUGAUAUUUUUUUUUACUUUUAUAUAAAAAAUAAAAUAAAAAAACUAACAAUCCUCCCCUCAGCUUGCUUGUUUUAAAAAAUAAAAUAAAAAACAUCAUCCCAUUUAAAUGAAAUUUGUUUUUAUUUUUAAUUAUUCAAAGACGGUCAUUAUAAUAAGACCGUCUUUGUAUCAGCUUGCUUGUUUAUUAAAGGCGGUUAUUUCAAUAAUCGUUGUUGUCAACUUUUAGAAAAUUACAAUAAUGCCACCGCUAUUAUUUUUACAACGUGUGAUAUUCAACCGUGGUAAGUGUGAUGUCGUAAAAUAACAUUAUUGUAGUAGUGUUAAUAUAUUUUAACUUUAAAAAAAACUUCUGAAUUUUACUUUAUAAAUUACUGGUCAGUAAAAUACAACGAAGGCCUUAGAUCCAUGUUGAAGGAAUGACAAUCGGAGAGUGGAGGCAUAAUCUACUACUCCUACUUUGACACUUUUGCCUGCCAUCAACGACCUUAUUCAGACUCCAGCUUCUUAUGGUACCAUUUUAUACCUACAAUAACAUAUCCAAAUAAGUUCUCAGUUAUCAGCCCUUCCUAUUGUGCUCCUAAGGCUCUUAACUUACAAAUUAACACAAAGAAAGGUGUCACUUAUGACGUAAAGGGUAACCGUGUAUUUUAUAUAAAAGAUACUUUGUUCACAUUUCACGGUCGUCGUGUGUUAUGUGAUGAUAAAGGAAACCCCAUCGUCACUCUAUAUAAGAAGGUAUGUUACUGAUCUAGGAGACAUCUUAUACUCAGCGAUUUUUUUUCUAUUAAUUAAAUUAACUAAAUUGAUAUUAUAUAUUCUUAAUUUUUAUUUUUUAUCAGCAAAUAUUAAUUAUUAAUUUUGGUAGUUUUUUUAGUGAAAUAAAUUUGAAUCCAUAACCUCUCUCUUUUCUUCUUUCUUUAACUAUCAAAUCAAUCUUAUAUAAUUUAGUAUUCUUAAUUUUUGUUUAUAUGUAGAAUGUGACAUUGCACGGGCAAUGCAAAGUUUUCAGGGGUAAUACCUCUGAGUUGCUCUUUUCGGUGAAGAGAUCGUCAAUAAUCCCGAGUGGGAAUAUGCUUAGAUUAGAUGUCUUCCUUGGAAACAAGAGAAAAGGAAGCAUGUGUGAUUUUAGAGUCAUCGUUCGUGGAAGUAAAAAUUCAUGCACUAUUUAUGCCGGUGAAUCUCCAACUAUUGUUGCCAAGGUGUGUAUUGCAUGUGUUCUGGGCAUGUUUUUAUAUACACAUUAAUUUAAUUGCCUAUCUAGUAUGGGUUUGGAUAAUUAUUGAUAAAAAUUAAUUUUAAAUUUUGAAUGAAAUUAAUUUUACAGACUUGAUUAGAAUUAAAAUUGAUUUUAAAGUGAUGUGUAAUUUAUAUUUAAAUAUUUUUAUGAUAAAAUUAAGUUAGGAGUAAAAUUUAGUAUAAUUUUUUUAUUCUAGUUAGAAUUGCUUAGUUCAGAAUCAAUUUUAGACCCAAAAUUAAUUAUGAAUCUUUUUAACAUAAAAUCAAACAUAUAAUUUUUGUUCUAAAAUCAAUUAUGAACUUGAAAAUUAUUAUUGUUUUUUUCCUAUUAACUCAGAAUCAAUUCUAACAUGAAACAAAGCACACAUACUUUUAUCUUGGUAAUUGUCGUGGAUCUUGAGCACAAAAUGAGUAUUAGUCUCCUGGUACGAUUUAUUACAUGCCUAAGAACAAAUCAAGAUUUGAAUUCCAAAUCACUUUUGUUAUGCCAAACUGUUAUUGAUCCAAACACAUACUUAACACAGCUGAAUGGAUAUAAUGACUACAUUUUAUCGCCCUCUUUCAUGUAGAUGGAGAAUAAUGGAGGCUUCAAAGUCUUGGUCUAUCCCAACGUGGACUACACAUUCAUAGUGGCACUACUUAUGAUUAUUGAUGACAUCAAAGAUUAUGAUGUGUUGGUAAAUGCGUCGGUGAGUAGUAUCCUAACUGUGGCGACGGGGGGUAUCUUACCUAUUCUGACAUUGUUUGAGGGAGAAAAUUUAGAAGAAGAAACCUUAGAUGGAGAAAACUUAGAAGAAGAAUACUUACAAGAAGGAGAAAACAACUCAGGUGGAGAAAACUUAGAUGGAGAAAACAACCCAAAAGGAGAAAAUUUAGAUGGAGAAAACUUAGAAGUAGAAAACAACUUCGAAGCUGAAACUUAGACGCAGCUUCUAAGUGAGUGCUUGUGGUAUUGUUCUCUAAUUGGCAUUAAUGUUUAUGUAGUUUCAUGUCAAUAAUCUGCAUAAUAAAGGUUUUCAUUAAAUGUCAAUGCAGAUUAGUCAGCUGGUUAAAUUCUUAUUCUGUCGUCUAAGUUUUAUUGUUGUAUAUGAAACAAAUUAAAAUUAAAUUUUGGGCAUGAUUUUGGUUAGAAUAGGUUGUGUCUUUUCAUUUUAGUGUAUGAAUAAAAUCGAGAAGAUAUUGCAUAUAAAAAAAGAUGUAAUAUUUUUCGCAGUUUUUUUUAUAAAAAAAUUUGAGUAAUGAUAUUGGAACAUUAUUAUUUUGAAUAUUUAUCAACACUUUUUAUUUUUCUUUAUCUUUCUUUCUAGCAUGUCAAAUCACUAUUGCGUAUAAUAUGAAUGGGCAAGAAUAAGUAUAUCUUAUACAAAUAGUAUCGAAGAUUAAAAGUCCAGAUAUCAAAUGCACAUGAUUAAUUGUGUUCUCAAAAUUAUACAUUUUAUUUUGCAACUAAGUAAUUGAGGAAAGAAAUUAAAUUAAGAUGUGAUUGAUGGUCAAUUAUCUAAUGCAAGAUAUCAAAUCUAAACGAGUAAGAUAGUAUGAAAGAGAAGAUGAUUUCCGGCAUACCAAUUCUAUCAAUCCUAAUUCUAACAAGAUUAUUGUUAAUUUCCCGUUUUCUAAAGUCAAUUAUUAGUCAUUGAUUGUGGUCUAAUAAUGCUCUUUGUCUUAAACAAUAGUCAAUUGAUCGUUGACGUAUUAAUGGCUGACCAGCUUCAGCUCAUCUCUGGGUUGACUGAUCUAUACAUUGCCAGCUAUGUGGUCCUUAUAGGAUUGAAGCAGACUCAAAUACAUAAGGCUUCCUCCAAUUGGGGAUUUGAUGAUAUGGCUAGUAGGUGAUAUUUGUGGUUGUGGUGGCUCUUGUUGUGCCUUAGGAUAUGGCUCUGGUUGUGCCUGUGCCUUUGGCUCUUGUCGAGAAGCCUUUGAAUCACAACAUGCUGACAUAGUCACUCAUUGCCUCUGAAACUCAGCAUUUGAUACAAAGGCAAUAAGCUUUGUGUGAUCAUUCUAAAAAGGGUAGGAAUAUCAAUUAAACAAUAAAUUAGAUAAUUUAAAAACAAAAAAUUGAUGAAUAACACAACAGAAUCGUAUUUCUGUUAUGGUUUUAUAAAAACAACACAUCAAAAAUACGAUUUUAUUGUGCUAUUUGAUAAAUAAUACAACAUAACCGUAUUUUAAUUGUAUUGUUUUCAAAACAAAACAAAAAAUAACACAACGAAAGUGUGAUUUUGUUGGUUCUAGGUUCAUAAUCACAAUAGAAUCGUACUUCCAUUGUAUUUUUGUUUUGUUUUGAAAAACACCACAACAAAGUUAUGAUUCUGUUGUGAUUUUCAACCCAGUACAUAAUGGAACUAGUAUUCCAUUGUGUUCUGUGUUGAGAAUCACAAUGAAAUUGUACUUUUGUUGUGGUGUUUUCCAAAACAAAACAAUAAAACACAACAAAAGUAGGAUUCCGUUGUGAUUCUCAACCCAGAACACAACGAAAUCACACAACUAUUGUGUAUAAAAAAGAAAAAAAAAUAACUUAAUAGAGCUCCAAAAUGAGAAAUGAAUGGAGAAGAGAGAAGGGUCUUCGACGAAAAUGAGAAAAUGAAAGGGAGCGGGAAAGAAUGAAGGAAGAGAAUGAGAGGGAGUGGGAUUGAAGGGACUUGGAUGAGAGGAAGAAAAUGAGAAGGAGUGAGUGAGAUAGAGAGAGAGAGAGAGAGACGCUUGAGAGGAAGGGGAAUGGGUGGGGGUGAGAAGAAGGGGUUGGGUAGAUGCGAAAGGGAAGGGGUGAGGGUAAGCGGAAACUGCCUUAAGGACAAUUUCAUAUUUCCACUACCAUUUUCAAAAAUGGUAGUGUCAAUAGCAGUGGGAGGUAGUGGGAAUAGCAGUUCCUGAAUAAGUGGAUUAUGCAGGCUAGCCUAUGAGCCCACAAACUAAGUCCGUCAAGUCCACUGGUUUCAUGGGCCAAACUCAAGUAUUGCCUAUAGUUAUGUGGGUUAAAAAAAGCAGGUUCAUUAUCCACGCGGUCCGCUAGCUUAACAAGCCGACCCACGAACUUAGGCCCAUAUACCCACCUCUAGUGAUGGCGAGAUGAAGACGGAAGUGAUAAUGACUCCGAUAGCAACAAAAUGGUGAUAGUAGUGAUAUGGAGUAAAUUUAAAUAAUAAUUGUAUAAUAUUUUUAUAUUAAAUAAAAAGUAAAUUUAUCUUUUAAAAAAACAUCAUACCAUUUAAAUGUACAUUGAUAUUUUUUUAAACUUUUAUAUAUAAAAUAAAAUAAAAAACUAGCAAUCCUCCCCUCAUUUGGAAGAUGUUUUUUCAGACUUGUUACUUAAAAAUCAAAUCAAACUAUUUUAAAUUACUAUAUAUGGAUUAAAAAAAAUUGAAAUUUAAUCAAAUUGAUAAAUAAAAAGAUGGCAUUUUUUUAAGUUUCUAUUAUUAAAAUUGAACAAAAUCAAAUCAAAUGGAUAAACUUAUAUUAUUUGUUUUGUUUACCCCAUAUAAAAUCACAUUCUUUCUUUAAUUAACCCCUUUAAAAUCCCAUUUUAUUUUAGACUUUUAUCUAUACACCAAUAUUUUUUUACCAUUGUUAGGUCAAAAGACCUUUGAGUCUUAAGACAAAUCAAGACCCUUAAACAUUUUGAUUAAAUACAAAUAAAUACAAAAGUUAAAAGUUGUAUCUUACGUGCACUCAAAUGAAGAAACAUUGCAUUUGCAUCUAAAGUUUCAAAUGGAAGUAGAUAAAUGUAUGAUCUAAUGCAACAUUUAAUAUCUCAUUUAAGACUUUAAUUUAAUACUUUGUGCUUGAGAUUCAUUUUGCAUAAUUUGUUUUAAAAGGCAUUCUCCUAGGAUCUCUCAAAAUCCUAAGAAGAAUAAAAGAACUUUAAGAGCCUGGAAGUUCAAAUAGUAUCAAAACUCGUGCUCUGUUGUGAUAGACCUGGUCUAACAAAAAAUAAGUGAUUUUUUGCUAAAGUAUCCUUCAAGGAAGCUAAAGAGAGUGAUUUUCCAGCAUGAAGCGGACAUGCAUUUUAUACAAACAUUGAAUGCCCCAACGAACACUUCUUCAAACACAAGCUUCAAUGAAAAAUUCUACUCAUUUAGGCACAAUAGAAACUUGAAGAAGAAGGCUUAUAAAUACCAAAGGCUUUGAAGAAGAGCUGUAACUAAUGAACCUACACGAAAAGAUUCAAAUUCUCUUGUUCUUUCUUCUCAAGCUUGUAUAUCCAUUAGUAAGACGAUUAAGAACUAGUUAGCGAGCCAACCAAACAACAAAUAUUUUGAUUUGUUUUAGAGCCAUUAAUGGCUUCGUAGAACAAAAAAUACUAGGUUCUUCAAGCUUGUUCUGUAAGAGUCAGAAGUGGCAGUGAAAAAUAAUACUUGUAACAUGUUGGAGUUAGUGAAACUUGGUGGUUUGCUCGAGAUGCAGAAACUUUAAUGAAUUUGUUAACACAACCGAUCUAAAAGGACGUCCUCAUGCUUCUUAAGCUUUACCCAAAUUUGGCCUUUUACAUUGGUUGUCAAGCAAGUGAUUUAAAAAGAAAAUGUUUUAUAUCAAUUGUGUUUACAAUCGAUGCAAAAAGUAUUGAUGUCCAUCAAAUAAUUAAUGGAUCUCACAAAAAGUGCAUAAGUGUUUCUUUUUAAACAAUUGAGAGACCAAAUUUGACCUUUUAAUAAAUGAGGGAUAAAAUUGAACCUUAAAAUAUAGUUAAGGGACAAAUUGUAUAAUUAAGCCUUAUUUAAAUCUUGUAAUUAAAUUAGGUAAGUGUCAUAUUUAUAAUAAAAUUUGAAUAAAAAAUAUUUAAUGAGGUUAUUUUAAUAAAGGAUUGACUUUCCCAAGAAUCCUGAUACACCGGUGUACCAGAUAAGUAUCCUGCCAACCAAAAGGAUGAAUACUAAAAAUCCAAUACAUCACAAUUAUCAUAAGAACCCAACAUUCAGUCACUUGAAUACCCUUUGGGCUAAUGUCAAAACAUCUAGUAUGAUAAAAGACACUCUAAUCAAGAUUAAAGAGAUAAUUGAACAUUGUAAUCACACUUAAAAUAAGAUUAUCUAAAAUGGUAAUCAUGUAAAAAAAUCUCACAGGUCCGUAGACCGACCAUUAAAGUAAUUAUAAAUAGAUAUGAGAAUCUUGAGGUAAGAGGAUUGUUCAGUCAUUUAUUACUCUAGGUGAAACCUUAUUUGAGUGUCGAAGUGCAUUUUGCACCCAUCCUUCAAAAGAAGAACCCGCUAAGCACACUAAAGCGAGAUACAUCAAAGUGAAAGAUAUAGCAAGGAGAAAGGCAUCUGGGCACUUCAAGCAUGAACAUCAGGUAUGAAAAAAUUUUCUCUCCUACCAAACAUCCUAUAGUUAAUGGAUAUUCUCUCCUCCCUAAUCCCCUUUCUACAUUAUCUUCUCAUUCAUUUCCUUCUUUUGCUAAUUUUCUUCCUACUAAAUGCUACCUUUUAAUUACUUUUCAAAUUUAUCCGAUGAAUUAAGAUAAACAUAUUUUUUAAAUUGAAUAACAAUUGUAAUAUUUGUGUGUGAAAACAAUUGUAAUUUUUUUAUUAUUCCAGUUAUGGGAGCCAAUUGUUAAACCACUAUUUAAUAUUCAUGAGGAUAAAAAUAUCAAACAAUUAAUGAUUUGUUUCAAGUGGCCUUAAACCGACAGUAUGCCAGAGGACUUGUUUUCUUGAGUAUAGGUUCAUGGACAUUUAAUUAUGGUGAUGAUGAUACACUCGAUUUUUCACUAUUUAAAACUGUAAGUUGAUCUAUCCACUUGAUGAUAACGAAACCUUUAAACUAUGUAUUCUUAAUUGAAAAUAAUAAAGUCUUCAUCAUUGCCAGCGGAUGCACAAGCUACACAUAAAAAUUAGGCUUAAUAUAUUUUAACUUUUUAAUUUCUAAUUUGAUGUAUUUUAUCUUUAACUUUUAAAAAAAAUUCUGAAUUUUACUUUAUAAAUUACUGGUCAGUAAAAUACAACGAAGGCCUUAGAUCCAUGUUGAAAGAAUGGCAAUCGGAGAGUGGAGGCAUAAUCUACUACUCCUACUUUGACACUUUUGCCUGCCAUCAACGACCUUAUUCAGACUCCAGCUUCUUAUGGUACCAUUUUAUACGUACAAUAACAUAUCCAAAUAUUAUUUUCUUUCUUAAUUCUUUUCAUUUCUUUAUUAAAAUUAAGAAACUUUCCUUUCUCUUUUAUUUUUUAUUCUAAUUCAAAUAACUUUAAAAUUUAUUAUCUUUCUUCUCUUUUAUUUCUUUCCUCUACCAAAAGAUGUUUAUUAGUUUUGUUUUGAGUAAAUGACCAUUUUAUUUUCUAAAUUUGUAUUUUGUUAUGGUUUUAGUACUUAAAAUCAAGAAAAAUUCAAAUAAGUUCACGAACAUUUUUAGUGUUUCACUUAAAUCUCUGAAAGUAACUUUUUUUCUUUUUCUUAUUUUGGUUCCUAAACUCAUGUUGUUAUUAUUACCUAAGUCCUCGUACUAGGGGUCAAAAUGAAAAAAGAAAAGAUGUUAGGUUAAGAGACUUAUUUGGUGAGAUACAAAUUUAGGAAAUGAAUUGGCUAUUUACUCUUUUGUUUUUAUAAAGUUGAUUUCUAAUUAAAAUAAGUUUAAAUCACUUUUCAGGAUUUAGUGAGCCAGAGCUCCCAGCCUGCCAUUGUCAAACCUUUGUCCUAACAGAGACAAGAUCACAUCUUCUUUGACCAAAUUCCAUCCUACGGAGGCGUUGCUCGUUUGUUUGUUAUUUGUUAUAAACUUUUUUAUGGCCCUUCAAGUUACACAUUGUAGAAAAUAAUAUUAUAAAAUGUAACAAUUUUAUUAUAUAUAACCCAUUGAUGGCCCUUCAUAUUUAUCCAAUAGCUUAUCUCUAACUUUGAACAUUAACAUUGCAAUCGCGCUUCUGUUUUUAUUUUUUUUAAUUUUGAAAUUUGUAAAAAAAUCUUUCAUUCUCUUUUCACUGCUAAUUUUCUUCCUACUAAAUGCUACCUUUUAAUUACUUUUCAAAUUUAUCCAACGAAUUAAGAUAAACAUAUUUUUUAAAUUGAAUAACUAUUGUAAUUUUUGUUGUUGUUGAAAACAAUUAUUGUUUUUUAUUACUCCAGUUAUGGGAGCCAAUUUUAAACCACUAUUUAAUAUUCAUGAGGAUAAAAGUAUCAAUCUACAAUUAAUGAUUUGUUUCAAGUGGCCUUAAUCCGACAGUAUUUGGAGGACUUGUUUUUUUUAGUAUAGGUUCAUGGACAUUUAAUUAUGGUGAUGAUGAUAGUACCAUGAUAUACUCGAUCGUUUACUAUUUAAAACAGUAAGUUGAUCUAGUCUCUACUUGAUGAUAACAAAACCUUUUAACAAUGUAUUCUUAAUUGAAAAUAAUAAAGUCCUCAUCAUUGCCAGCUGAUGCAUAAGCUAUCCAUAAAAAUUAGGUUUAAUUGUAUAAUUUUUUUAAUUUUUGAUGAAUUUUAUUUUUAACUUUUUAAUUUGACAUAUUUUACCUCUAAUUUUUAAGAAGCUUGUGAAAUUUAUCCUUCCCAUUUAUCUAUUAAAAAGCAUAAUAAUUGAUGGUAAAAUUUGUCAAAAAAAUAAAUAGUUCAAGAGUAAAAUUCGUAAAGAAUAAUAAGUCAGGGAUAAAAAGUACAAUUAUAUUAAUAGUUAAAUGAUGGGAGUAAAAUUCACAAGAUUCUUAAAAUUUGGGAUAAAGUAUAUCAAAUUAAAAAAAUUAAGGUAAAAUUCACCAAAAAUUUAAGAAAUUAAGGAUAAAAAAUACAAUUACGCCUAAAAAUUAUCAUUUUGUCUACCCCAAUGUUUUUUUUAUUUCAGCUUAAUUUAAGAAAUUAAGGAUAAAAAAUACAAUUACGCUUCAAAGAUAUUUACAAUCUUUCUAGUUAACGUUUUACAAAGAGUACUGUGUUUAAUUCAUGGUGGGAAUAAUGAAAAUUGAUUUUGAUUUGAUUUAAACACGAUUUUAUCAAAAUAUAAAUGCUUGGUUAUUGUUAGCUAAAGUUAUUUUGCUUUAUAAGAAGUGAUAAAAAGUAACUUUUAUGUUGAGUUAAAGAAGCAAUCUCGCUUUCAAGAUAAAAGCAUACAAACCCUUGUCGAUUUAAAAUAAAAUUUAAUAUUAUUUUCUUAUUUAUUUUGGUCAAAUAAUUUUUAAAAUUUAUUUAUCUGUUCCACAAUUAGCCUAUGAAACCGUUUUGUCUACGCAUAAUUAGACUUCUAAUAAACCCAAACAUAUUUUCAAAGACCAAAUCUGUAAAAGUAAGAAAAAAAUCAAUUAUUUCCUUAGAUAAAAAUUGAGAACAACUUGGCUAGUUUAAUCAAAUUUCAUUUCCCCACAUUUUGACAAAGUCAUAAGCUAGCUAGCUAAACGAACUACGACUUUUCUCACUGUGUACGUUUUCCAUGCCAAGUCUUCGGAAUCUUGGGCUCUGCAAGUUGAUGGUCAACUAGGCAGUUUUGCCAUUGGGUAAGUGGACCUAUUUAUAAAGGAUGGUCAAUUGAGCAAUUAAUUGAUUAACAUAUGUACCUAACAUAUGUCUAAGAUGCUUAUGUCUUUAACCAAGUACUAGUAGUUUAGAAUUUAAAUUUUAAUUAAUUAUUAGGUAUAAAAUAAAUUAUAUUAAAAAAAAACCUAUUUUACAUGUGUUCAAGAUUUCUAACGAAAAUUUAUUUUUAUUUUCAAUGAAAACAAUUUUAUAAUUAUAAAAAAUAAAACAUACGUGACCAAACACACAAUGUGUGUACAUAACAUAUGCUCUAUAAAUUAGCCUUUACUCCAAAAGACUAUCUCAUACCACAACACAUGUUUCCAAUGGCAAAUAAGUUCUCAGUUAUCAGCCCUUCCUAUUGUGUUCCUAACUCUCUUAACCUACAAAUUAACACAGAGAAAGGUGUUACUUACAACGUAAAGGGUAACCGUGUAUUUUACAUAAAAGAUACUUUGUUCACAUUUCACGGUCGUCGCGUGUUAUGUGAUGAUAAAGGAAGUCCCAUCGUCACUCUAUACAAGAAGGUUUGUUACUGAUCGAGGAGGCAUCUUAUACUCAUUUUUUUUUGAAUUUUUUUUCUAUUAAUUAAAUUAACUAAAUUGGUAUUAUAUAUUCUUAAUUUUUGUUUUUUAUCAGCAAAUAUUAAUUAUUAAUUUUAUUAGUUUUUUUUAGUAAAAAAAAAAUUGAAUCUAUAACCUCUCUUUUUCCUUCUUCCUUUAUCUAUCAAAUCAAUCUUAUAAUUAUUUGGUAUUCUUAAUUUUUGUUUAUAUGUAGAAUGUGACAUUGCACGGGCAAUGCAAAGUUUUCAGGGGUAAUAGCAAUGGUCCCUCUGAGUUGCUCUUUUCGGUGAAGAGAUCGUCAAUAAUCCCGAGUGGGAAGAUGAUUAGAUUAGAUGUCUUCCUUGAAAACAAGAGAAAAGGAAGCAUGUGUGAUUUUAGAGUCAUCGUUCGUGGAAGUAAAAAUUCAUGCACUAUUUAUGCCGGUGAAUCUCCAACUAUUGUUGCCAAGGUGUGUAUUGCAUGUGUUCUGGGCAUGUUUUUAUAUACACAUUAGUUUAAUUACCUAUCUAGUAUGGGUUUGGAUAAUUGCUGAUAUAAAGUGAUGUGUAAUUUAUAUUUAAAUAUUUUUAUGAUAAAAUUAAGUUAAGAGUAAAAUUUAGUAUAAUUUUUUAUUCUAGUUAGAAUUGCUUAACUCAGAAUCAAUUUUAGAUCCAAAAUCGAUUAUGAAUCUUUUUUAACAUAAAAUCAAACAUAUAAUUUUUGUUCUAAAAUCAAUUAUGAACUUGAAAAUAAUUUUUUUUUUUUGCUUUUAACUCAUAAUCAAUUCUAACCUGAAACAAAGCACACAUACUUUUUUCUUGAUAAUUAUCGGAAACCUUGAGCACACACAAAAUGAACAUUUCCCCUUUUAAUACGAUUUAUAACCUAAGGACAAAUUAUAAUUCGAACCCUAAACCACUUUUAUUGUGCCAAACUCUUAUUGAUCCAAACAAAUAAUUAAUACAACUGAAUGGAUAUAAUGACUACAUUUUAUCGCCCUCUUUCAUGUAGAUGGAGAAUAAUGGAGGCUUCAAAGUCUUGGUCUAUCCCAACGUGGACUACGCAUUCAUAGUGACACUACUUAUGAUUAUUGAUGACAUCAAAGAUUAUGAUGUGUUGGUAAAUGCGACGGUGAGUGGUGUCCUAACUGUGGCGACGGGGGGUAUCUUACCUAUUCUGACAUUGUUUGAGGGAGAAAAUUUAGAAGAAGAAACCUUAGAUGGAGAAAACUUAGAAGACGAAUACUUACAAGAAGGAGAAAACAACUCAGGUGGAGAAAACUUAGAUGGAGAAAACAACCCAGAAGGAGAAAAUUUAGAUGGAGAAAACUUAGAAGUAGAAAACAACUUCGAAGCUGAAACUUAGACGCAGCUUCGUAAGUGAGUGCUUGUGGUAUUGUUCUCUAAUUGGCAUUAAUGUUUAUGUAGUUUCAUGUCAAUAAUAAUCUGCAUAAUAAAGGUUUUCAUUAAAUGUCAAUGCAGAUUAGCCAGCUGGUUAAAUUCUUAUUAUGUCGUCGAAGUUUUAUUGUUGUAUAUGAAACAAAUUAAAAUUAAAUCUUGGGCACGAUUUUGGUUAGAACAGGUUGUAUCUUUUCAUUUUAGUGCAUGAAUAAAAUUGAGAAGAUAUUGUAAAUAAAAAAAGAUGUAAUAUUUUUCGUAGUUUUUUUAUAAAAAAAAUUGAGUAAUGAUAUUGGAACACUAUUAUUUUGAAUAUUUAUCAACA